RNAcentral lists this ribosomal RNA (341 nucleotides) under uncultured Pseudomonadota bacterium. Its description in RNAcentral is "bacterial SSU rRNA". It matches the Rfam family "Bacterial small subunit ribosomal RNA", at positions 29 to 351 of the family's 1533-position model. Lineage: Bacteria; Pseudomonadati; Pseudomonadota. The record is from RNAcentral.
AACGAACGCUGGCGGCGUGCCUAACACAUGCAAGUCGAGCGGGAAAGUUCCCUUCGGGGAGCGAGUACAGCGGCGCACGGGUGAGUAACACGUAGGUAACCUACCCUGGAGUCUGGGAUAACCUGCCGAAAGGCGGGCUAAUACCGGAUAAGACCACGAGGGCUGCGGCCCUUGGGGAAAAAGAUGGCCUCUGCUUGCACGCUAUCACUCUGGGAUGGGCCUGCGCGCCAUUAGCUAGUUGGUGAGGUAACGGCUCACCAAGGCGACGAUCCGUAGCUGGUCUGAGAGGACGAUCAGCCACACUGGGACUGAGACACGGCCCAGACACCUACGGGAGGCAG